Drosophila virilis is the source of this 915-nucleotide non-coding RNA. The record is from RefSeq and is a predicted model, not a curated record. NCBI's taxonomy places the organism in Eukaryota, Metazoa, Arthropoda, Insecta, Diptera, Drosophilidae.
CCGCCUGGAAAUGGAAGAGACACCUAAUUAGCUGUCUACAGUCUUGCAAUCGUAUAGGAAGGCUUCUCUUAAAUAUAGACUGUUAAACUUCCUUUAACAUUUGACUAUCUGUUAAACUUAACGCUCCUAUUAACAGCAGCAUGUUAUGUUGUGAAGCAUGUUAUAAUCCUUAACAGCUCUCAUUAACUUGAUAGUUAGGUACAGGCUUUUAUUUUAAGCAUUUCUCUUUAGAUAAAUUGAAAUUUCAGUUCAUUUGAUAGCAAAAAUCCGGCUAAAUGGUUGGCCAUAAAAAUUAGAAGCCUUACAAAACCUUGGUGCCAGGUGGACGCGCACGCGAAUAUAUCGAUUAAGAAUCAACCAACAAGUUUUUGGGCGAAAGGGUAACACAAAGUUACGAUGUGUGAGCGCCAAUUGAAAUUUAGGUGCCAGUCGGCGUCUGGUACGAAUAGCGACCCACACAUGAGCAGGCGGCGAAAAGUUUGUACCUUUUUGUUUUUUUUUCUUUUUUGGGCCUGCGGCAUUGCGUGUGCCACCCACUUUUAACACAUACAACAUGGAGAGUUCUUGAACUUUACAGAUGGAGAUAUGGCAGAGGAAUAGAGCGUGCCACCAGCUGGCCGUAACAAGGCUGGAGCCCACAUCGAGUGACAGUGACACGUGCUUUGCAUGCAAGCACAUCAUAAAAGACCAGAACAAGCUAUAUGAAACAUUGCCGACUGACUAUCCAUGCCCCAAGUUCCGCUGCAUGGAUCAAUGCGAAGGCAAAAAUGAGGCAAUCUUCCAUGUGGGGCGUUUUUUGGGCCUGUCUUUUAAUUGAUUACGAGCCAGGUGCAUGCAAUUUAGCAAUGCCAAAAAAGUAUAUACAUAAAUAUAUAGCCAUAUCGCACACGUUUGACCUUAGUUGUCACGGCAAAA